CCUACGGGUGGCUGCAGUAGGGAAUAUUGGGCAAUGGAUGCAAGUCUGACCCAGCCAUGCCGCGUGCCGGAUGAAGGCCCUCAGGGUUGUAAACGGCUUUUAUUCGGGAAGAAGAGCAGGGAUGCGUCCUUGUGUGACGGUACCGAAUGAAUAAGCACCGGCUAACUCCGUGCCAGCAGCCGCGGUAAUACGGAGGGUGCGAGCGUUGUCCGGAUUUAUUGGGUUUAAAGGGUGCGUAGGUGGCUGUUUAAGUCAGUGGUGAAAUACGGUUGCUC
RNAcentral lists this ribosomal RNA (275 nucleotides) under uncultured Dyadobacter sp. RNAcentral describes it as "partial 16S ribosomal RNA". It matches the Rfam family "Bacterial small subunit ribosomal RNA", at positions 338 to 610 of the family's 1533-position model. Lineage: Bacteria; Pseudomonadati; Bacteroidota; Cytophagia; Cytophagales; Spirosomataceae. The record is from RNAcentral.